GACGAACGCUGGCGGCGCGCCUAACACAUGCAAGUCGAACGAGCGAGAGAGAGCUUGCUUUCUCAAGCGAGUGGCGAACGGGUGAGUAACGCGUGAGGAACCUGCCUCAAAGAGGGGGACAACAGUUGGAAACGACUGCUAAUACCGCAUAAGCCCACGACCCGGCAUCGGGUAGAGGGAAAAGGAGCAAUCCGCUUUGAGAUGGCCUCGCGUCCGAUUAGCUAGUUGGUGAGGUAACGGCCCACCAAGGCGACGAUCGGUAGCCGGACUGAGAGGUUGAACGGCCACAUUGGGACUGAGACACGGCCCAGACUCCUACGGGAGGCAGCAGUGGGGAAUAUUGCACAAUGGGGGAAACCCUGAUGCAGCGACGCCGCGUGGAGGAAGAAGGUCUUCGGAUUGUAAACUCCUGUUGUUGAGGAAGAUAAUGACGGCACUCAACAAGGAAGUGACGGCUAACUACGUG
This 466-nucleotide ribosomal RNA is filed under the name uncultured bacterium. RNAcentral's name for it is "partial 16S ribosomal RNA". It matches the Rfam family "Bacterial small subunit ribosomal RNA", at positions 28 to 507 of the family's 1533-position model. The record is from RNAcentral.